GCAUAUACUGUAUUUUUCGCUCCAUAAGUCACACCUGACUGUAAGACGCACCCAGUUUUUAGAGGAGGUAAGCAAGAAAAAAAUAUUCUGAAUGAAACAGUGGAUGUAUGAUUUUUGUGCUUAUAGUAAGACUAAACCUUAACACUAAGCAUACUGUGUACAGACCACACCAGAAGGAAAAGAGAUAGAAAGAGAACGUGAAACCCAGGCACCUUCUGGUCUUAUUAUCAUAUUAUUAUUAUUAUUAUUAUUAUUAUUAUUAUUAUUAUUAUUAUUAGCAUGACCUUGACAGAAGAGAUAACAGAACCACUUUAAACCAGCUGUAGUCAGCUUCUCAGAAGGAAUAACCCAAACAUCACAAACCUUCUGCUUGUUUCUUUCACACAGAGAAGCUUCCAGAACCCUUUUGAAUUAAUGAGAAUAGGAAAGAUCUCUACACAUCAGAUCAAUACUUUCUGCACUAAGAAAUGCAAACUGACACUAUGACCUUUCCCAAAUGCUGCCCAAUUUAAGGAGGAGGAAACUGGGCACUGCCCCUCCCGCCAUUCCAGUGCGUCUGAAGGAGACACACACUGACUGAUGUGUAGGUGAUCACUUUCCCGAGAAAAUAUGCUCUCUACUUUCCCAGGCAGUCCAAUCUGGGGGCCCUGUCAACUAAGAUUGCUCUCACUGGAACUGAGUGAAGAUGGCGGCUGCCAGCAGCAAAAAGACCUUUGGAUUGAUUCGGCAGGAACACCAGCGUGUGAGGAGAUGCUGUGAACUUAUAGAGGGGAAUCAUAGACAUAAAAUCCACACAGAAACACACCAUUGCUUGUUUUAACUCGCUUGUGGGAACAACUCAGAGGCUGUGAAAGAAGGAAGGUUAACAACAGAAAGAAUUAGAGGAACCAUCAGAAGUGACUAUGAAAAGCACUAGAAGUAUGAGAUGAUCAGAACCCUCCGAACUUGAAGCAUGGGAAGUCCUAUUAAAACUUUAUAAUUUGGCAGAAUAUUCG
RNAcentral lists this long non-coding RNA (995 nucleotides) under Podarcis lilfordi (Lilford's wall lizard). Lineage: Eukaryota; Metazoa; Chordata; Lepidosauria; Squamata; Lacertidae. The record is from RNAcentral.